Paramuricea clavata is the source of this 271-nucleotide non-coding RNA. The record is from the annotation of a GenBank genome assembly. Lineage: Eukaryota; Metazoa; Cnidaria; Anthozoa; Malacalcyonacea; Plexauridae.
CCGUAUCUACUUGCUUGCAAAGCUACGCUAUUUAGAGACAAUUACGGAAAGCGCUCUACAAUGGUGUCUACAGGUUUACAUCAUGCUACGUCAGUGGUAUUUCCCAUCAUACACCGUGGUCUCCAGUGUAUUGUCGCUUCUGUCUUUAGCCUGGAGUAUCACGACACUCGAAAAAGAAAGAGCAACUGACGAAGCACGCGAUUUCAAGCCACUUUAUACAGCCUUGUUCCUGAUAUGGCAACUGUUUACACUCAUAUCAAGAUUAUUCGCU